Cervus elaphus (red deer) is the source of this 573-nucleotide non-coding RNA. The record is from the annotation of a RefSeq genome assembly. Lineage: Eukaryota; Metazoa; Chordata; Mammalia; Artiodactyla; Cervidae.
GGCACCUCAGUACCUGGGCAAGGGAUCAUGAAGAGACAAUGGGGAGCCCUGCUGGGGCUUCUGUGGGUCCAGAUUUGCUGGGUGAGAGGAGUGAAGGUGGAGCAGAGUCCUUCAGUCUUGAAGCUCCAGGAAGGAGCCAACUCUACUCUGAGGUGCAAUUUUUCUGACACAGUGACCAGUGUGCACUGGUUCCAGCAGAAUCCCAGAGGCAGCCUCACCACGCUGUUUUUCAUAACUUCAGGGACGAAGCAGAAUGAAAGGCUGAGUUCCACAGUGAAUUUUAAGGAACGGUACAGUACCCUACACAUCGCAGCCUCCCAGCUGGAAGACGCAGCCACCUACCUCUGUGCGGCGGAGGCACAGUGCUCCCCGGUGACCUGCAGCCUGUGCCCAAACUGCAGCUACCUCAGCCCCGCCCCUCCGCAGGGCUACACCAUGCAAGCUGUGCCUAUGAGGGACAAACGUCUCUCCCUGCACAUCGUAACCAUCCAGCCUGGAGACUCAGCUGCCUACUUCUGUGCAGCAAGGACACAGCGCUGCCCAGGCAGCCGCUACCUGUACUCAUACUUGUGA